Molecule: ribosomal RNA, 552 nt
Filed under: uncultured archaeon
Lineage: Archaea
Description: bacterial SSU rRNA
Rfam family: Archaeal small subunit ribosomal RNA
Source: RNAcentral
CGGGGUGCAGCAGGCGCGAAAACUUUACAAUGCUGGCAACAGCGAUAAGGGGACCUCGAGUGCCAGGUUACAAUCUGGCUGUCGUGAUGCCUAAAAAGCAUUGCAUAGCAAGGGCCGGGCAAGACCGGUGCCAGCCGCCGCGGUAACACCGGCGGCUCGAGUGGUAACCGUUAUUAUUGGGUCUAAAGGGUCUGUAGCCGGCCGGAUAAGUCUCUUGGGAAAUCCAGCAGCUCAACUGUUGGGCUUUCAGGAGAUACUGUCUGGCUCGAGGCCGGGAGAGGUGAGAGGUACUUCAGGGGUAGGGGUGAAAUCUUGUAAUCCUUGAAGGACCACCAGUGGCGAAGGCGUCUCACCAGAACGGACCUGACGGCAAGGGACGAAAGCUAGGGGCACGAACCGGAUUAGAUACCCGGGUAGUCCUAGCCGUAAACGAUACUCGCUAGGUGUCGGCCACGGUGCGACCGUUGUCGGUGCCGUAGGGAAGCCGUGAAGCGAGCCACCUGGGAAGUACGGCCGCAAGGCUGAAACUUAAAGGAAUUGGCGGGGGAGCAC